AGUGAACGCUGGCGGUAGGCCUAACACAUGCAAGUCGAACGGCAGCACAGUAAGAGCUUGCUCUUACGGGUGGCGAGUGGCGGACGGGUGACGAAUACAUCGGAAUCUACUUUUUCGUGGGGGAUAACGUAGGGAAACUUACGCUAAUACCGCAUACAACCUACGGGUGAAAGCAGUGGAUCUUCGGACCUUGCGCGAUUGAAUGAGCCGAUGUCGGAUUAGCUAGUUGGCGGGGUAAAGGCACACCAAGGCGACGAUCCGUAGCUGGGCUGAGAGGAUGAUCAGCCACACUGGAACUGAGACACGGUCCAGACUCCUACGGGAGGCAGCAGUGGGGAAUAUUGGACAAUGGGCGCAAGCCUGAUCCAGCCAUACCGCGUGGGUGAAGAAGGCCUUCGGGUUGUAAAGCCCUUUUGUUGGGAAAGAAAAGCAGCAGGUUAAUACCCCGCUGUUCUGACGGUACCCAAAGAAUAAGCACCGGCUAACUUCGUG
Molecule: ribosomal RNA, 492 nt
Filed under: uncultured bacterium
Lineage: Bacteria
Description: partial 16S ribosomal RNA
Rfam family: Bacterial small subunit ribosomal RNA
Source: RNAcentral